UACGAAGGGGGCUAGCGUUACUCGGAAUUACUGGGCGUAAAGCGUGCGCAGGCGGCUUAGUAAGUUGGGAGUGAAAGCCUAGGGCUCAACCCUAGAACUGCUUUCAAAACUGCUUGGCUAGAGUGCCAGAGGGGAUAGCGGAAUUCCUAGUGUAGAAGUGAAAUUCGUAGAUAUUAGGAGGAACACCGAAAGCGAAGGCGGCUAUCUGGCUGGAAACUGACGCUGUUGCACGAAAGCGUGGGGAGCAAACGGG
RNAcentral lists this ribosomal RNA (253 nucleotides) under uncultured bacterium. Its description in RNAcentral is "partial 16S ribosomal RNA". It matches the Rfam family "Bacterial small subunit ribosomal RNA", at positions 524 to 776 of the family's 1533-position model. The record is from RNAcentral.